RNAcentral lists this ribosomal RNA (487 nucleotides) under uncultured bacterium. RNAcentral's name for it is "bacterial SSU rRNA". It matches the Rfam family "Bacterial small subunit ribosomal RNA", at positions 8 to 474 of the family's 1533-position model. The record is from RNAcentral.
AGAGUUUGAUCCUGGCUCAGAAUGAACGCUGGCGGCGUGCCUAACACAUGCAAGUCGCGCGCGAACGGGGCUUCGGCUCCUAGUAGAGCGGCGAACGGGUGAGUAACACGUGGAUAACCUGCCUGAAAGUGGGGGAUAACCUGGGGAAACUCGGGCUAAUACCGCAUACGUUUCCGGGGUUUCGGCCCCGGAAGGAAAGCCGGCCUCUGCUUGCAAGCUGGCGCUUUCAGAGGGGUCCGCGUCCGAUUAGCUAGUUGGCGGGGUAAUGGCCCACCAAGGCGACGAUCGGUAGCCGGCCUGAGAGGGUGAUCGGCCACACUGGAACUGAGACACGGUCCAGACUCCUACGGGAGGCAGCAGUGGGGAAUAUUGGACAAUGGGGGAAACCCUGAUCCAGCAACGCCGCGUGGGGGAUGAAGGUCUUCGGAUUGUAAACCCCUGUUGGGAGGAACGAAGGCUUUCGGGCGAACAGUCCGGAAGCUUGACG